Molecule: ribosomal RNA, 254 nt
Filed under: uncultured bacterium
Lineage: Bacteria
Description: partial 16S ribosomal RNA
Rfam family: Bacterial small subunit ribosomal RNA
Source: RNAcentral
UACGUAGGGGGCAAGCGUUGUUCGGUUUUACUGGGCGUAAAAGGCGCGUAGGCGGCGCGUAAAGUCGGACAUGAAAUCAUUGGGCUUAACCUGAUGGCUGUGCCCGAUACUUACGUGCUUGGAGUGCGGGAGAGGCAAUCGGAAUUCUCGGUGUAGCGGUGAAAUGCGUAGAUAUCGAGAGGAACUCCGGUGACGAAGGUGGGUUGCUGGACCGACACUGACGCUGAGGCGCGAAAGCUAGGGGAGCAAAUGGG